AUACUUAGCUGGAGUGGAGAGGAGAUACCAUGAUCAUGAAGGGCAAGACUCAUCCAUCGCACUGUGGAUGUGCUGACCCCCGAGAUUUCCCCACAUGUGGGGAACUCAACUGCAUAAUAUGUGGUAAUGGGGACUGCCUUAGUGCUUUCCCCUG
Small nuclear RNA from Loxodonta africana (African savanna elephant), 154 nucleotides. Its record names the gene U1. It matches the Rfam family "U1 spliceosomal RNA". Rfam says of the family: U1 is a small nuclear RNA (snRNA) component of the spliceosome (involved in pre-mRNA splicing). Its 5' end forms complementary base pairs with the 5' splice junction, thus defining the 5' donor site of an intron. There are significant differences in sequence and secondary structure between metazoan and yeast U1 snRNAs, the latter being much longer (568 nucleotides as compared to 164 nucleotides in human). NCBI's taxonomy places the organism in Eukaryota, Metazoa, Chordata, Mammalia, Proboscidea, Elephantidae. The record is from Ensembl.